RNAcentral lists this non-coding RNA (29 nucleotides) under Rattus norvegicus (Norway rat). Lineage: Eukaryota; Metazoa; Chordata; Mammalia; Rodentia; Muridae. The record is from RNAcentral.
UUCAAUUUUAAGAAGGUGUCUAGGGAUGU